UGGGGAAUAUUGCACAAUGGGCGCAAGCCUGAUGCAGCCAUGCCGCGUGUGUGAAGAAGGCCUUCGGGUUGUAAAGCACUUUCAGCGAGGAGGAAGGUGGGUGAGCUUAAUACGCUCAUCAAUUGACGUUACUCGCAGAAGAAGCACCGGCUAACUCCGUGCCAGCAGCCGCGGUAAUACGGAGGGUGCAAGCGUUAAUCGGAAUUACUGGGCGUAAAGCGNACGCAGGCGGUUUGUUAAGUCAGAUGUGAAAUCCCCGGGCUCAACCUGGGAACUGCAUUUGAAACUGGCAAGCUAGAGUCUCGUAGAGGGGGGUAGAAUUCCAGGUGUAGCGGUGAAAUGCGUAGAGAUCUGGAGGAAUACCGGUGGCGAAGGCGGCCCCCUGGACGAAGACUGACGCUCAGGUGCGAAA
This 412-nucleotide ribosomal RNA is filed under the name uncultured bacterium. Its description in RNAcentral is "partial 16S ribosomal RNA". It matches the Rfam family "Bacterial small subunit ribosomal RNA", at positions 355 to 758 of the family's 1533-position model. The record is from RNAcentral.